GACGAACGCUGGCGGCGUGCUUAACACAUGCAAGUCGAACGGAAAGGCCCUGCUUUUGUGGGGUGCUCGAGUGGCGAACGGGUGAGUAACACGUGAGUAACCUGCCCUUGACUUUGGGAUAACUUCAGGAAACUGGGGCUAAUACCGGAUAGGAGCUCCUGCUGCAUGGUGGGGGUUGGAAAGUUUCGGCGGUUGGGGAUGGACUCGCGGCUUAUCAGCUUGUUGGUGGGGUAGUGGCUUACCAAGGCUUUGACGGGUAGCCGGCCUGAGAGGGUGACCGGUCACAUUGGGACUGAGAUACGGCCCAGACUCCUACGGGAGGCAGCAGUGGGGAAUAUUGCACAAUGGGCGGAAGCCUGUUACAGCAACGCCGCGUGCGGGGUGACGGCCUUCGGGUUGUAAACCGCUUUCGCCUGUGACGAAGCGUGAGUGACGGUAAUGGGUAAAGAAGCACCGGCUAACUACGUG
RNAcentral lists this ribosomal RNA (468 nucleotides) under uncultured bacterium. RNAcentral's name for it is "partial 16S ribosomal RNA". It matches the Rfam family "Bacterial small subunit ribosomal RNA", at positions 28 to 507 of the family's 1533-position model. The record is from RNAcentral.